UAAUGGGUCAGCGACUUAUAUUCAGUGGCAAGGUUAACCAUCUAGGGGAGCCGUAGGGAAACCGAGUCUUAACUGGGCGUUCAGUCUCUGGAUAUAGACCCGAAACCAGGUGAUCUAGCCAUGGGCAGGUUGAAGGUUGAGUAACAUCAACUGGAGGACCGAACCGACUAAUGUUGAAAAAUUAGCGGAUGACUUGUGGCUAGGGGUGAAAGGCCAAUCAAACCUGGAGAUAGCUGGUUCUCCCCGAAAGCUAUUUAGGUAGCGCCUCGGACGAAUACUACUGGGGGUAGAGCACUGUUAAGGCUAGGGGGUCAUCCCGACUUACCAACCCUUUGCAAACUCCGAAUACCAGUAAGUACUAUCCGGGAGACACACGGCGGGUGCUAACGUCCGUCGUGGAGAGGGAAACAACCCAGACCGCCAGCUAAGGUCCCAAAUUACUACUAAGUGGGAAACGAUGUGGGAAGGCUCAGACAGCCAGGAUGUUGGCUUAGAAGCAGCCAUCAUUUAAAGAAAGCGUAAUAGCUCACUGGUCGAGUCGGCCUGCGCGGAAGAUGUAACGGGGCUAAGUAGUAAACCGAAGCUGCGGCAAUAUACUUUUGUAUAUUGGGUAGGGGAGCGUUCUGUAAGCGGUUGAAGGUGUGUGGUAACGCAUGCUGGACGUAUCAGAAGUGCGAAUGCUGACAUGAGUAACG
RNAcentral lists this ribosomal RNA (695 nucleotides) under Vibrio parahaemolyticus. Its description in RNAcentral is "partial 23S ribosomal RNA". It matches the Rfam family "Bacterial large subunit ribosomal RNA", at positions 613 to 1311 of the family's 2925-position model. Lineage: Bacteria; Pseudomonadati; Pseudomonadota; Gammaproteobacteria; Vibrionales; Vibrionaceae. The record is from RNAcentral.